This is a long non-coding RNA of Manihot esculenta (cassava), 1286 nucleotides long. RefSeq lists it as uncharacterized. Lineage: Eukaryota; Viridiplantae; Streptophyta; Magnoliopsida; Malpighiales; Euphorbiaceae. The record is from RefSeq and is a predicted model, not a curated record. The transcript is spliced from 2 exons.
AAAAAAAUUCAAGUCAAGCAGAGUUUAGUCAAUAACAACUUACAUUAGUUUAGUUCAUCAACAAGAUCAUGUCUGGUUGUUUCAUAGGAAUGUUUUGAGAGAAGUUAAAGCUUUUUUUUGUCGGAAGAGAAGUUAUAGAUAGAAGUGAAUCCGUAGGAGGAUCCUGACUUGGGCUCAACUCGGUCGGGAAAUCGAUAUUUCUCCUCUGAGUCUGAGGAAAGAAUUGGGAGUUAAUCACGGCAGAAUGGCAAUUGGUGCAGCCGAAGAUUCCAUGUCUAUGUUAUUUAAUUUAAAUGAAAAGCCCAUUGCAGCCGAACACAGCACUGCAGCAUUAUUAUCCCUCCCAAGCCCAACUCUCCAACUGAACUUUUUAUCGGAAGAAAAUCCAGAACUCAUCUGAUCUCCGUCCUAAAUUCUCAAUUAAUUUUUAAUGAUUAAAUUAUGUAAAUCUCUCGGUGCUUCACGAGUACGAGAGGAAGGGGGAGAGCGACUUGCCGACGAAAGGACGGUGAGAAGAAGCGACGAAGAGACAAGAGAGAAGAAGACCCGUGCGCGAAGAUGGGAGAGGUGGGGGGCGUUUCUGCAGGGCUUUGGUCUAGUGGUUUUUUUGUGGUUGUGAUUCUGUGGCUUUUCCUAAUUGUUGUUGAAUCUGGGAUCGAUAAAAAUUUCGAUCGGCUUUUGAAGUAUUUAGCAUUUAGGGACCGCACCGCUACGUCCAGCGAGUAAUGCUCCUGUGUGCUAUUGACAAGCUGAGCUCUGCCACAUCCUCUUCUUAUUUGGCUGGUUGGACAAUUGUGUCCAAUGACCUUAUUUUCGUUUUAUGGAAUUUGCUCUUUUCUGCAUGUGCUUUUUUCUUUUUCUUUUUAUAGUGGUCGUGUAUCUUUUGCUUGCACUCCUCUCUUUUUUUUUUUCCAAGCGAUUUUCCAUGGGUGUGUCAGUAGAGUUGUCGAUGCGACGAUGACAAGAUCAGCUCUUGUUUUCUUUUUCCAGCCUUUUUUAUGUCGAUGCGCCGGUGGAGCUGUCGGUACGGCGGACGAGAUCGAUCAGCUCUUAUUUUCUUUUUUCAGCCUUUUUCAUGUUGGUGCGCUGGUGGAACUGUCGAUACGGCGGACGAGGUCGAUUUGGUGUGAGUAGUGUUUCAAUUGAUUGAAUUUGAUUAUUUUUUUAUUUGACUGAUUUAAUUAUUUGUGUUUAGUUUGGUUUUGUCAAUUUAUUAGUUUGAUAUAUUUUCAUUAAAUCAGGGCCUAUUUUGCUCAUCCAUAUAUAUCCCACUUAAUCUUGUUAAA